This 1367-nucleotide ribosomal RNA is filed under the name Enterococcus durans. Its description in RNAcentral is "bacterial SSU rRNA". It matches the Rfam family "Bacterial small subunit ribosomal RNA", at positions 71 to 1422 of the family's 1533-position model. Lineage: Bacteria; Bacillati; Bacillota; Bacilli; Lactobacillales; Enterococcaceae. The record is from RNAcentral.
CUUGCUCCACCGGAAAAAGAAGAGUGGCGAACGGGUGAGUAACACGUGGGUAACCUGCCCAUCAGAAGGGGAUAACACUUGGAAACAGGUGCUAAUACCGUAUAACAAUCGAAACCGCAUGGUUUUGAUUUGAAAGGCGCUUUCGGGUGUCGCUGAUGGAUGGACCCGCGGUGCAUUAGCUAGUUGGUGAGGUAACGGCUCACCAAGGCCACGAUGCAUAGCCGACCUGAGAGGGUGAUCGGCCACAUUGGGACUGAGACACGGGCCCAAACUCCUACGGGGAGCCACCAGUAGGGAAUCUUCGGCAAUGGACGAAAGUCUGACCGAGCAACGCCGCGUGAGUGAAGAAGGUUUUCGGAUCGUAAAACUCUGUUGUUAGAGAAGAACAAGGAUGAGAGUAACUGUUCAUCCCUUGACGGUAUCUAACCAGAAAGCCACGGCUAACUACGUGCCAGCAGCCGCGGUAAUACGUAGGUGGCAAGCGUUGUCCGGAUUUAUUGGGCGUAAAGCGAGCGCAGGCGGUUUCUUAAGUCUGAUGUGAAAGCCCCCGGCUCAACCGGGGAGGGUCAUUGGAAACUGGGAGACUUGAGUGCAGAAGAGGAGAGUGGAAUUCCAUGUGUAGCGGUGAAAUGCGUAGAUAUAUGGAGGAACACCAGUGGCGAAGGCGGCUCUCUGGUCUGUAACUGACGCUGAGGCUCGAAAGCGUGGGGAGCAAACAGGAUUAGAUACCCUGGUAGUCCACGCCGUAAACGAUGAGUGCUAAGUGUUGGAGGGUUUCCGCCCUUCAGUGCUGCAGCUAACGCAUUAAGCACUCCGCCUGGGGAGUACGACCGCAAGGUUGAAACUCAAAGGAAUUGACGGGGGCCCGCACAAGCGGUGGAGCAUGUGGUUUAAUUCGAAGCAACGCGAAGAACCUUACCAGGUCUUGACAUCCUUUUGACCACUCUAGAAAUAGAGCUUCCCCUUCGGGGGCAAAGUGGACAGGGGGUGCAUGGUUGUCCUCAGCUCGUGUCGUGAGAUGUUGGGUUAAGUCCCGCAACGAGCGCAACCCUUAUUGUUAGUUGCCAUCAUUUAGUUGGGCACUCUAGCAAGACUGCCGGUGACAAACCGGAGGAAGGUGGGGAUGACGUCAAAUCAUCAUGCCCCUUAUGACCUGGGCUACACACGUGCUACAAUGGGAAGUACAACGAGUCGCGUAGUCGUGAGGCUAAGCUAAUCUCUUAAAGCUUCUCUCAGUUCGGAUUGUAGGCUGCAACUCGCCUACAUGAAGCCGGAAUCGCUAGUAAUCGCGGAUCAGCACGCCGCGGUGAAUACGUUCCCGGGCCUUGUACACACCGCCUGUCACACCACGAGAGUUUGUAACACCC